AGGGUGCGAGCGUUAAUCGGAAUUACUGGGCGUAAAGCGUGCGCAGGCGGUCUCGUAAGCUGGGGGUGAAAGCCCCGGGCUUAACCUGGGAACGGCAUUCAGGACUGCGAGGCUCGAGUGUGGCAGAGGGAGGUGGAAUUCCACGUGUAGCAGUGAAAUGCGUAGAGAUGUGGAGGAACACCGAUGGCGAAGGCAGCCUCCUGGGCCAGCACUGACGCUCAUGCACGAAAGCGUGGGGAGCAAACAGG
Molecule: ribosomal RNA, 248 nt
Filed under: uncultured bacterium
Lineage: Bacteria
Description: partial 16S ribosomal RNA
Rfam family: Bacterial small subunit ribosomal RNA
Source: RNAcentral